This 76-nucleotide transfer RNA is filed under the name Candidatus Portnoybacteria bacterium CG11_big_fil_rev_8_21_14_0_20_44_10. RNAcentral's name for it is "tRNA-Arg". It matches the Rfam family "tRNA". From Rfam's summary of the family: Transfer RNA (tRNA) molecules are approximately 80 nucleotides in length. Their secondary structure includes four short double-helical elements and three loops (D, anti-codon, and T loops). The record is from RNAcentral. Lineage: Bacteria; Candidatus Portnoyibacteriota.
GCGCUCUUAGCUCAACGGAUAGAGCGUCUGGCUUCGGACCAGAAAGUUGGGGGUUCGAGUCCCUCAGAGCGCACAA